CCUACGGGUGGCAGCAGUGGGGGAUAUUGCACAAUGGGGGAAACCCUGAUGCAGCGACGCCGCGUGGGCGAAGAAGUAUUUCGGUAUGUAAAGCCCUAUCAGCAGGGAAGAAGAAAUGACGGUACCUGAGUAAGAAGCACCGGCUAAAUACGUGCCAGCAGCCGCGGUAAUACGUAUGGUGCAAGCGUUAUCCGGAUUUACUGGGUGUAAAGGGAGCGCAGGGGGCACGGCAAGCCUGAUGUGAAAGCCCGCGGCCCAACCGCGGGACUGCAUUGGGAACUGCCGGGCUGGAGUACCGUAGAGGUAGGCGGAAUUCGUGGUGUAGCGGUGAAAUGCGUAGAUAUUAGGAGGAACACCGGUGGCGAAGGCAGCCUACUGGACGGUGACUGACGCUGAGGCUCGAAAGCGUGGGGAGCAAACAGGAUUAGAUACCCUGGUAGUC
This 442-nucleotide ribosomal RNA is filed under the name uncultured bacterium. RNAcentral's name for it is "partial 16S ribosomal RNA". It matches the Rfam family "Bacterial small subunit ribosomal RNA", at positions 338 to 795 of the family's 1533-position model. The record is from RNAcentral.